UACGAAGGGGGCUAGCGUUGCUCGGAAUCACUGGGCGUAAAGGGUGCGUAGGCGGGUCUUUAAGUCAGGGGUGAAAUCCUGGAGCUCAACUCCAGAACUGCCUUUGAUACUGAAGAUCUUGAGUUCGGGAGAGGUGAGUGGAACUGCGAGUGUAGAGGUGAAAUUCGUAGAUAUUCGCAAGAACACCAGUGGCGAAGGCGCCACUCUGGGCCGAAACUGACGCUGAGGAGCGAAAGCAUGGGUAGCAAACAGG
This 253-nucleotide ribosomal RNA is filed under the name uncultured bacterium. RNAcentral's name for it is "partial 16S ribosomal RNA". It matches the Rfam family "Bacterial small subunit ribosomal RNA", at positions 524 to 776 of the family's 1533-position model. The record is from RNAcentral.